CACACUGUAAACGAUGAAUGCUAGGUGUAGGGGGUAUCGACCCCUUCUGUGCCGCAGUUAACACAGUAAGCAUUCCGCCUGGGGAGUACGGUCGCAAGAUUAAAACUCAAAGGAAUUGACGGGGGCCCGCACAAGCAGCGGAGCAUGUGGUUUAAUUCGAAGCAACGCGAAGAACCUUACCAGGUCUUGACAUCCAGGUAAAGCUGCAGAGAUGCAGUGUGUGCUUGCACAAUCUGAGACAGGUGG
RNAcentral lists this ribosomal RNA (246 nucleotides) under uncultured Bacillota bacterium. Its description in RNAcentral is "uncultured Firmicutes bacterium partial 16S ribosomal RNA". It matches the Rfam family "Bacterial small subunit ribosomal RNA", at positions 796 to 1041 of the family's 1533-position model. Lineage: Bacteria; Bacillati; Bacillota. The record is from RNAcentral.